CUAGUGACCGAUAGUGAACCAGUACCGUGAGGGAAAGGUGAAAAGCACCCCGGAAGGGGAGUGAAAUAGAACCUGAAACCGUGUGCUUACAAGUAGUCAGAGCCCGUUAAUGGGUGAUGGCGUGCCUUUUGUAGAAUGAACCGGCGAGUUACGAUUUGAUGCAAGGUUAAGCAGUAAAUGUGGAGCCGUAGCGAAAGCGAGUCUGAAUAGGGCGUUUAGUAUUUGGUCGUAGACCCGAAACCAGGUGAUCUACCCUUGGUCAGGUUGAAGUUCAGGUAACACUGAAUGGAGGACCGAACCGACUUACGUUGAAAAGUGAGCGGAUGAACUGAGGGUAGCGGAGAAAUUCCAAUCGAACCUGGAGAUAGCUGGUUCUCUCCGAAAUAGCUUUAGGGCUAGCCUCAAGUGAUGAUUAUUGGAGGUAGAGCACUGUUUGGACGAGGGGCCCCUCUCGGGUUACCGAAUUCAGACAAACUCCGAAUGCCAAUUAAUUUAACUUGGGAGUCAGAACAUGGGUGAUAAGGUCCGUGUUCGAAAGGGAAACAGCCCAGACCACCAGCUAAGGUCCCAAAAUAUAUGUUAAGUGGAAAAGGAUGUGGCGUUGCCCAGACAACUAGGAUGUUGGCUUAGAAGCAGCCAUCAUUUAAAGAGUGCGUAAUAGCUCACUAGUCGAGUGACACUGCGCCGAAAAUGUACCGGGGCUAAACAUAUUACCGAAGCUGUGGAUUGUCCUUUGGACAAUGGUAGGAGAGCGUUCUAAGGGCGUUGAAGCAUGAUCGUAAGGACAUGUGGAGCGCUUAGAAGUGAGAAUGCCGGUGUGAGUAGCGAAAGACGGGUGAGAAUCCCGUCCACCGAUUGACUAAGGUUUCCAGAGGAAGGCUCGUCCGCUCUGGGUUAGUCGGGUCCUAAGCUGAGGCCGACAGGCGUAGGCGAUGGAUAACAGGUUGAUAUUCCUGUACCACCUAUAAUCGUUUUAAUCGAUGGGGGGACGCAGUAGGAUAGGCGAAGCGUGCGAUUGGAUUGCACGUCUAAGCAGUAAGGCUGAGUAUUAGGCAAAUCCGGUACUCAUUAAGGCUGAGCUGUGAUGGGGAGAAGACAUUGUGUCUUCGAGUCGUUGAUUUCACACUGCCGAGAAAAGCCUCUAGAUAGAAAAUAGGUGCCCGUACCGCAAACCGACACAGGUAGUCAAGAUGAGAAUUCUAAGGUGAGCGAGCGAACUCUCGUUAAGGAACUCGGCAAAAUGACCCCGUAACUUCGGGAGAAGGGGUGCUCUUUAGGGUUAACGCCCAGAAGAGCCGCAGUGAAUAGGCCCAAGCGACUGUUUAUCAAAAACACAGGUCUCUGCUAAACCGUAAGGUGAUGUAUAGGGGCUGACGCCUGCCCGGUGCUGGAAGGUUAAGAGGAGUGGUUAGCUUCUGCGAAGCUACGAAUCGAAGCCCCAGUAAACGGCGGCCGUAACUAUAACGGUCCUAAGGUAGCGAAAUUCCUUGUCGGGUAAGUUCCGACCCGCACGAAAGGCGUAACGAUUUGGGCACUGUCUCAACGAGAGACUCGGUGAAAUCAUAGUACCUGUGAAGAUGCAGGUUACCCGCGACAGGACGGAAAGACCCCGUGGAGCUUUACUGUAGCCUGAUAUUGAAAUUCGGCACAGCUUGUACAGGAUAGGUAGGAGCCUUUGAAACGUGAGCGCUAGCUUACGUGGAGGCGCUGGUGGGAUACUACCCUAGCUGUGUUGGCUUUCUAACCCGCACCACUUAUCGUGGUGGGAGACAGUGUCAGGCGGGCAGUUUGACUGGGGCGGUCGCCUCCUAAAAGGUAACGGAGGCGCUCAAAGGUUCCCUCAGAAUGGUUGGAAAUCAUUCAUAGAGUGUAAAGGCAUAAGGGAGCUUGACUGCGAGACCUACAAGUCGAGCAGGGUCGAAAGACGGACUUAGUGAUCCGGUGGUUCCGCAUGGAAGGGCCAUCGCUCAACGGAUAAAAGCUACCCCGGGGAUAACAGGCUUAUCUCCCCCAAGAGUUCACAUCGACGGGGAGGUUUGGCACCUCGAUGUCGGCUCAUCGCAUCCUGGGGCUGUAGUCGGUCCCAAGGGUUGGGCUGUUCGCCCAUUAAAGCGGUACGCGAGCUGGGUUCAGAACGUCGUGAGACAGUUCGGUCCCUAUCCGUCGUGGGCGUAGGAAAUUUGAGAGGAGCUGUCCUUAGUACGAGAGGACCGGGAUGGACAUACCUCUGGUGUACCAGUUGUCGUGCCAACGGCAUAGCUGGGUAGCUAUGUGUGGACGGGAUAAGUGCUGAAAGCAUCUAAGCAUGAAGCCCCCCUCAAGAUGAGAUUUCCCAACUUCGGUUAUAAGAUCCCUCAAAGAUGAUGAGGUUAAUAGGUUCGAGGUGGAAGCAUGGUGACAUGUGGAGCUGACGAAUACUAAUCGAUCGAAGACUUAAUCAA
Molecule: ribosomal RNA, 2441 nt
Filed under: human gut metagenome
Description: bacterial LSU rRNA
Rfam family: Bacterial large subunit ribosomal RNA
Source: RNAcentral